RNAcentral lists this ribosomal RNA (2931 nucleotides) under Escherichia coli. RNAcentral's name for it is "23S ribosomal RNA". It matches the Rfam family "Bacterial large subunit ribosomal RNA". Lineage: Bacteria; Pseudomonadati; Pseudomonadota; Gammaproteobacteria; Enterobacterales; Enterobacteriaceae. The record is from RNAcentral.
GGGUUGUGAGGUUAAGCGACUAAGCGUACACGGUGGAUGCCCUGGCAGUCAGAGGCGAUGAAGGACGUGCUAAUCUGCGAUAAGCGUCGGUAAGGUGAUAUGAACCGUUAUAACCGGCGAUUUCCGAAUGGGGAAACCCAGUGUGUUUCGACACACUAUCAUUAACUGAAUCCAUAGGUUAAUGAGGCGAACCGGGGGAACUGAAACAUCUAAGUACCCCGAGGAAAAGAAAUCAACCGAGAUUCCCCCAGUAGCGGCGAGCGAACGGGGAGCAGCCCAGAGCCUGAAUCAGUGUGUGUGUUAGUGGAAGCGUCUGGAAAGGCGCGCGAUACAGGGUGACAGCCCCGUACACAAAAAUGCACAUGCUGUGAGCUCGAUGAGUAGGGCGGGACACGUGGUAUCCUGUCUGAAUAUGGGGGGACCAUCCUCCAAGGCUAAAUACUCCUGACUGACCGAUAGUGAACCAGUACCGUGAGGGAAAGGCGAAAAGAACCCCGGCGAGGGGAGUGAAAAAGAACCUGAAACCGUGUACGUACAAGCAGUGGGAGCACGCUUAGGCGUGUGACUGCGUACCUUUUGUAUAAUGGGUCAGCGACUUAUAUUCUGUAGCAAGGUUAACCGAAUAGGGGAGCCGAAGGGAAACCGAGUCUUAACUGGGCGUUAAGUUGCAGGGUAUAGACCCGAAACCCGGUGAUCUAGCCAUGGGCAGGUUGAAGGUUGGGUAACACUAACUGGAGGACCGAACCGACUAAUGUUGAAAAAUUAGCGGAUGACUUGUGGCUGGGGGUGAAAGGCCAAUCAAACCGGGAGAUAGCUGGUUCUCCCCGAAAGCUAUUUAGGUAGCGCCUCGUGAAUUCAUCUCCGGGGGUAGAGCACUGUUUCGGCAAGGGGGUCAUCCCGACUUACCAACCCGAUGCAAACUGCGAAUACCGGAGAAUGUUAUCACGGGAGACACACGGCGGGUGCUAACGUCCGUCGUGAAGAGGGAAACAACCCAGACCGCCAGCUAAGGUCCCAAAGUCAUGGUUAAGUGGGAAACGAUGUGGGAAGGCCCAGACAGCCAGGAUGUUGGCUUAGAAGCAGCCAUCAUUUAAAGAAAGCGUAAUAGCUCACUGGUCGAGUCGGCCUGCGCGGAAGAUGUAACGGGGCUAAACCAUGCACCGAAGCUGCGGCAGCGACGCUUAUGCGUUGUUGGGUAGGGGAGCGUUCUGUAAGCCUGUGAAGGUGUGCUGUGAGGCAUGCUGGAGGUAUCAGAAGUGCGAAUGCUGACAUAAGUAACGAUAAAGCGGGUGAAAAGCCCGCUCGCCGGAAGACCAAGGGUUCCUGUCCAACGUUAAUCGGGGCAGGGUGAGUCGACCCCUAAGGCGAGGCCGAAAGGCGUAGUCGAUGGGAAACAGGUUAAUAUUCCUGUACUUGGUGUUACUGCGAAGGGGGGACGGAGAAGGCUAUGUUGGCCGGGCGACGGUUGUCCCGGUUUAAGCGUGUAGGCUGGUUUUCCAGGCAAAUCCGGAAAAUCAAGGCUGAGGCGUGAUGACGAGGCACUACGGUGCUGAAGCAACAAAUGCCCUGCUUCCAGGAAAAGCCUCUAAGCAUCAGGUAACAUCAAAUCGUACCCCAAACCGACACAGGUGGUCAGGUAGAGAAUACCAAGGCGCUUGAGAGAACUCGGGUGAAGGAACUAGGCAAAAUGGUGCCGUAACUUCGGGAGAAGGCACGCUGAUAUGUAGGUGAAGUCCCUUGCGGAUGGAGCUGAAAUCAGUCGAAGAUACCAGCUGGCUGCAACUGUUUAUUAAAAACACAGCACUGUGCAAACACGAAAGUGGACGUAUACGGUGUGACGCCUGCCCGGUGCCGGAAGGUUAAUUGAUGGGGUUAGCGGUAACGCGAAGCUCUUGAUCGAAGCCCCGGUAAACGGCGGCCGUAACUAUAACGGUCCUAAGGUAGCGAAAUUCCUUGUCGGGUAAGUUCCGACCUGCACGAAUGGCGUAAUGAUGGCCAGGCUGUCUCCACCCGAGACUCAGUGAAAUUGAACUCGCUGUGAAGAUGCAGUGUACCCGCGGCAAGACGGAAAGACCCCGUGAACCUUUACUAUAGCUUGACACUGAACAUUGAGCCUUGAUGUGUAGGAUAGGUGGGAGGCUUUGAAGUGUGGACGCCAGUCUGCAUGGAGCCGACCUUGAAAUACCACCCUUUAAUGUUUGAUGUUCUAACGUUGACCCGUGAUCCGGGUUGCGGACAGUGUCUGGUGGGUAGUUUGACUGGGGCGGUCUCCUCCUAAAGAGUAACGGAGGAGCACGAAGGUUGGCUAAUCCUGGUCGGACAUCAGGAGGUUAGUGCAAUGGCAUAAGCCAGCUUGACUGCGAGCGUGACGGCGCGAGCAGGUGCGAAAGCAGGUCAUAGUGAUCCGGUGGUUCUGAAUGGAAGGGCCAUCGCUCAACGGAUAAAAGGUACUCCGGGGAUAACAGGCUGAUACCGCCCAAGAGUUCAUAUCGACGGCGGUGUUUGGCACCUCGAUGUCGGCUCAUCACAUCCUGGGGCUGAAGUAGGUCCCAAGGGUAUGGCUGUUCGCCAUUUAAAGUGGUACGCGAGCUGGGUUUAGAACGUCGUGAGACAGUUCGGUCCCUAUCUGCCGUGGGCGCUGGAGAACUGAGGGGGCUGCUCCUAGUACGAGAGGACCGGAGUGGACGCAUCACUGGUGUUCGGGUUGUCAUGCCAAUGGCACUGCCCGGUAGCUAAAUGCGGAAGAGAUAAGUGCUGAAAGCAUCUAAGCACGAAACUUGCCCCGAGAUGAGUUCUCCCUGACUCCUUGAGAGUCCUGAAGGAACGUUGAAGACGACGACGUUGAUAGGCCGGGUGUGUAAGCGCAGCGAUGCGUUGAGCUAACCGGUACUAAUGAACCGUGAGGCUUAACCUUACAACGCCGAAGCUGUU